This 4942-nucleotide unclassified non-coding RNA is filed under the name Haliotis rufescens (red abalone). RNAcentral's name for it is "tetraspanin-3-like, transcript variant X1". The record is from RNAcentral. Lineage: Eukaryota; Metazoa; Mollusca; Gastropoda; Lepetellida; Haliotidae.
AUAUCUCAUGACGGAAGAACAUCUGACGGGUUGAAAAGCAGACAAGUGCGUGUUUAUCAUCAACUGUCGUUACUGAGAGGACUUUGUCAACGACAUUCCGCAACAUGGCUGGUGGAUGUACUGUAACUUCCAAGAUCUGUUUAGUAGUGGUUGGACUGAUAUUUUGGGGUGCUGCUGCAACCCUCUGCUUCAUAGGAGCAUGGGUCUACUCAACGUACAGCCACUUUGACGAGGUGACGGAGGCAAGCCUCACUCUGGUGCCAGCCAGCAUCAUCAUCAGCGGGGGCAUCUUCAUGUUCAUCAUCGGGCUCCUUGGCUGCAUCGCUGCAUGUAAGGAAAACAAGUGCCUAUUAGCAGCGUUCUUCUCCCUGAUUCUCCUGGUGUUCCUGGCAGAGGUUGUUGCAGCUACUAUGGGCUAUGUGUUCAGGAAUGAUGUGAGAGAUGUACUUGACACAGGUCUGAAGGAUGCUGUCAAUCACUACAAUGAGACUGCUGAAAAAAAUCAAAUUGACUAUAUUCAGAAAGAGCUCAAGUGCUGUGGGGUUCACAAUGCCUCCGACUGGGCGACCUCUCCAGGCUGGGGGAACACGACCAUGGUUCCAAGGAGCUGCUGUAGGAAUGCAACAAGCUGUUCUCCAUCACUUACAGGAACAGACAUCUAUAAUGAGGGCUGCCUGGACCUGCUGAAGGAUAAAUUCCUGAUGAACCUUGUGUACAUUGCUGCAGUGACUGUUGCCUUCGCCAUCAUCCAGAUCCUCGGCCUCAUCAGCGCUUGCAUCCUGCUGUGUCGAUCGCGCGAUGUACGUUACGAAACACUGGAGAGUGCCCAACGGAACGGACUACGCGUGUAGAGAGCACACCUCCUCAUCAAAUUUCCAUCCAUGGACCAGUCUAGCUGGCCUUGUUUCACAAUGCUCCUAUGUUCACUGGGUAUAUUGAGCUUUAAUGGGACACACAAAGCUUUCCCUUACGGCAACAUGUCACUAGUUGAUAGUUUUGAUGUGACUAGCAUAAUCUUCAACGAAAUAAAUUAGUAAGUUCUAAACAGGAAUAGUGUAUGCUUUGCAGAAAUCCAAAAUUGUAUUUCUGUGUUUGAAGCAUUGUUUUGUUUGAAAUGUAUGACAAGAAAAUUGAAAUUAGGGCCAUGUUUGGUUACUGUGAGUACUAACCAGUUGACGUGUAUCCUCAUAUUAUACAUGUGUUGUUUACAGGAGAAAUUGUUCCCACACUGAAGUGUGGCAAAUCUUAACUUGGAAAUUGAGAAACAGUUAUGAAGGAAACGGAUUGUCCACCUAGCAUGUCUGAUAGACAGGCGACUGUAUGUAAUUCAUGAAUGUAAAUAUGUGUACAUUUUAUUACUUUACAUGUCUAGAUCUGAUAUAGAUUAAUAGCUGUCCGUGUGCAUUGUUGGAUGACCCUACUGUGAUGGACAAAGAUUUGUAAUCAAAUAAGAUUUCAUUCUCUCGAACUCAAAUGCAAGCAGAGGGCAGUUGAAAUUGCUUGCAUGUUGGCAAAGUGUGCAAAAAUAUAUCAUCUUGAGUUGGGGUAAGUUGAUCACCUUGCCAGGAGAUUUGUUUCGCAAAAAUGGAAUUUUUCCUGGUUUAAAUUUUUUUUAUUUUAUCAGUACACGUUCAGAAUAUUAUUAACUUUGGACAGGACGUUGUUCAAUAGUAUUACCAAAUCUGAAUAAAACCUUUGACAUUUUGGAUGACAAGCAUCAAUGUCCAAGAAAAUGAACUGAUUUGAAACCCUGAGUUGGUGGCCGGUGGUAGGAGACCCCUUGUCCUGUUGACUUGUUAAAGGGAGACUGCUCCAAAAUCUGCUGCCAAUUUCCAAUUUAUAAUAAAUUAAUCCAAUUAAUAAGUAGUUAAUUAAUAUGUAGUGUCUUAUGUGAGCCUAAGACAUUGUUUCUGUGUAGUUAGGUUAAUGAUCAACUGUAAGAUUGAUACUCAUAACAAAACUUGAAGUAGCAGACAGACAAGGAAUAACCUGCGUCAAACUUGCUGGUACUGCCAAUUUACCUGAGCCAAGUCUCCCUUUAAGAGUGAGUACGGUUUUAGGCCGCUUUUAGCAAUACUCCCUCAAUAUCACGGCAGGGGAAACCAGAAAUGGGCUUCACCCAUUGUCCCCAUGUGGAGAACCAAACCCGGGUCUUCGGCUAGAACAAAUGAGCUGUACCUAUUAUGUUAUGUUUGAAGCAUUAUAAUUUCAGUUGCUAGUUGUUUUAGUUGGGACUUCUGGACUAGUGCUAGUUGCAAGUCUAUGACAAGUAUGGGAGCUGAAGUAAUGGUGCCUAUUCUAUUCUAGUUUAAUCUAGUUUGGGAAUAUGGUUAUUUGCACGAAGUCUCAGAAUUAUGAUUGUAAUAUUACAUAUAUAUUUUCCCCCUGUAAUUGGAUUUUGCUGUUGUUUUAUUUAUCAGCCAACAUUUAAGCAAUUCUUUCAUGACUGAUUAUCCUUGUAUCUAGUACAUUUUAAGUUAAGACCUCACAUACCCUCAUUAUAUAUCCCUGUAGUUGACACAAGUAUAGAUAUCAUAUAUUACCAACAGAGGCUAUGAAGAACUACUUUAACACUUGUGAUUGUCUGUGCCUUGUGGUUCAGGGAAGAGACGAUAGUCAGGCUGUAGUUGAAGAACUCUCUUGUCCUUUACUAAGUUAGAUCAUGGAAGCAUUUGAAUGAUUAUACCAUGACAGGUGUGUUUUGAUACAAGGGAAGGCGAUACAUGCCAGCCCUUCUGUGUGGUUUAGUGGUUGUGAGAAAUGACACUUCCGUGUUCUACUUCAUCCUGCAUCAUGAUCAUCACCACCUACAACUGCACCGAGCAAGUGAUAAGAAGUUACGCGUGAAAUGUGCUUUAAUCAGUGUUAAUGUCCAUUGGUUUCUAAUUUGCACAAAUAUUAUGUCUCACACCUCUGUGUUGUGCGAGAAAUUAUUUGAUGAUGUUUUGAUGUAAGUAUUUAUUAAUUUCUGUUGUUUUUUAAUUGUGUUGUCUUUCAUAACUUUGACAGCUGUGUAGAGCUAGUGCUGCUGUAUGUGGGUGUUAGGGCUGGGACGAGUCCAAAUUUACUACCCGGGUACCCGAAAGGAACAUUUUUAGCAUAGCCCUGGCAAAACGUAUUAAGAUACAUGUAUUAAACAAUCUGGUCAUGCAUACACUGAAUUUGAUUUGAGUUAUAUCUUUAUUCAACCAUAUGAAAAAUCAGAAGGAAUGGGUGCAUAGUCAGAAAGAAAUGCGAACAUUAUUGACUUGUAGUGUAACCAUAGAGUUCUAGAUAAUUUUUGUCAUUAAACAAUAUAUCACGUGGUUAACCAUGGGUCCGGGUAGUCCUGUUGGUACCCGGGUCCUACUCAGUACCCACCCAACCCGGGUACCCGAGUUACCCGUCCCAGCCCUAGUGGGUGUUAACAGUGACAAGAGAAUGCUGUUAUUCAAGUCAAGGUUUCUUUCAAUACAUGUAUUUCUUUACCUCUGGUAGAUCAAACCAUGUGGUGGUCUCAAAAGGGAAACCUUUUUGAACAACAGAACACACAAUAAAGCAUGUAAUACUUUCCUUUUUUCAGCUACGUUAAUAUGAAAUGGUCAUUCAUCUGUGUAAAUGUUUACCCUUGUCAUUUUAGCCCACCUUUUUUCAGUGUUUUACAAGUGUAUAGUUAACUAGUGGUGUAUUCUUGGGGUGAAAUGAUGCAUUUUUCUGUAUCGAUACAACACGAUUCACUUGUGAAAUAAAUAACUUGAUUCUAGUUUGACGACCCCUGGCGUUUUUGUCAGUCAAUUAUUACAAAAUAGGUUGUAAUUAGCGUAUGAGGUUUAAUAAUAAACAUAGCAGUUACGAACAAGUUUUCCUUUUGAACCUGCUCUGAAAUAUUUAUUGUCAAAAAGUUUCCAUGCAAUUUGACAUAAAUAUGCGUAGCGCAAUACAUAUCGCAUCAUGACCUCUGUAUCGUGAUACGUAUCGUAUCACAUCCUUGCUGUAUCGUUUCACCCCUAGUAUGUUCCUCCAUUUGGUAUCACUAAUUGCAUUUUCAGCUUCACACAGCACAUGUAAAUAGUUAGGCCUGUCAUACAUUUACUUUAACAUCAUGUGUUAUUGUCAGUGCCCAGAUGCACAGCAGGAAAAUCAUCACAAUAAUUUACAAAGUCUUGCCAAUGGUGCGGUAAUCCCAAACCUCCGCGCCCCCCCACAGGGAGUCCUGUGUGCAGUGGUUGUCAGCUGAGUAGAGUAAGGAUGAGGUUGUCACAGUGAGUGUGUCCUCAUGAACCGAGGAUGUGGAUGGUUGCUCAGGCAACGAUUGAUCAUGUACAGGUCAUCAGGAGUGUGUCCUCAUGAACCGAGGAUGUGGAUGGUUGCUCAGGCAACGAUUGAUCAUGUACAGGUCAUCAGGAGUGUCCUCAUGAACCGCGGAUGUGGAUGGUUGCGCAGGCAACGAUUGAUCAUGUACAGGUCAUCAGGUUACGUAUCACUGGACAAGAGGGCUUCAAGUGAAAGAGAUCCAAGGGGCUGAGGAAUAAGCUUAAUGAAAUGGUGUAAUUUGACAACUAAUAUGAAAUACUGACAGUGUACUCUUGUGAAGUUCUGAUCUAUAUUGUAUGUAUACUCAGUGUUCUGAUGGCCUCAUGCUGGCAUGGUGACCCCUUGGUGUCGAUGAGAGGUGGCCCACUGCUGGCCUCAGACCAACAUCAGUCCUCUGGCACAGUCAGAUAGAUGACCUCAAUAUAGUUGACUGUAUUUGAAACUGAAAACAAGGAAAUGAUUUAAUUUAAUUCUUUUCAGAAUGUUGUUUCACAUUGGCUUGAUGUAGAGAUUUGUUUUGAAAAGUCGUGAUGUAGGUCAAGUGGCCGAUCAUCCCUCUCCUGAGUGUCAUGUGCUGUGUAGUAUGGCUUUCAUCACUGUCAUGUGUGUAGCUGUGUGUAGCUGUGUGUAGAAUAAACCAUGAACAUCA